GGGGAUGAAAGGAUUUCGACGGGGCCAUCGAACCAUGAUAAGCGGGUAGCGGCGGGGAACCGCUAUAAACUCUCCAAUUUUUUUAAAGUAAACGACAACAAUCGUUAUACUCUGCAGGCUGCAUAAGCACCCUGCCAUUCCCCUCCGGUAAACUGCGGCCGGAGAGCGGAGUGUCGAUUUAGCAGUGAACGUGCAUGGGGCAGGGUUCCGGGCCCCGUCAUGAACCAUGGAACUACCGAAGGCGGCCGCCUGCUGACCGGCAGCCGUCCGGGGGAAUCCCCAUAGAUCAGCUACACCCGUAGAAAGUUGUGCGCAAGAGGUACUCGGACGCGGUUUCGAUUACCGCCAUCUCCACCA
This 357-nucleotide transfer-messenger RNA is filed under the name Acutalibacteraceae. Its description in RNAcentral is "RUG420 sp900318715 Standard tmRNA". It matches the Rfam family "transfer-messenger RNA". From Rfam's summary of the family: Bacterial tmRNA, also known as 10Sa RNA or SsrA, is named for its dual tRNA and mRNA-like properties. RNAcentral also lists the same sequence under 1 other name. The record is from RNAcentral. Lineage: Bacteria; Bacillati; Bacillota; Clostridia; Eubacteriales.